GCCACGCCCGCUCAGAACUACAAAGGAAGUUGACGGGGGCCCGGCACAAGCGGUGGAGUAUGUGGUUUAAUUCGAUGCAACGCAAAGAACCUUAAACCUGGUCUUGACAUCCCGGAGACCCUUAGGAAACUAGGGGGUGCUUCCAUCUGGAAGAAUCUGGAGACAGGUGCUGCAUGGCUGUCGUCAGCUCGUGUCGUGAGAUGUUGGGUUAAGUCCCGCAACGAGCGCAACCCUUGCCUUUAGUUGCCAGCAGUUCGGCUGGGCACUCUAAAGGGACUGCCGGUGUUAAACCGGAGGAAGGUGGGGAUGACGUCAAGUCCUCAUGGCCUUUAUGACCAGGGCUACACACGUACUACAAUGGCCGAUACAAAGGGCAGCGACACUGCGAGGUGAAGCCAAUCCCGUAAAAUCGGUCUCAGUCCGGAUUGGAGUCUGCAACUCGACUCCAUGAAGUUGGAAUCGCUAGUAAUCGUGGAUCAGCAUGCCACGGUGAAUACGUUCCCGGGCCUU
This 510-nucleotide ribosomal RNA is filed under the name uncultured Desulfobulbus sp. RNAcentral describes it as "bacterial SSU rRNA". It matches the Rfam family "Bacterial small subunit ribosomal RNA", at positions 903 to 1382 of the family's 1533-position model. Lineage: Bacteria; Pseudomonadati; Thermodesulfobacteriota; Desulfobulbia; Desulfobulbales; Desulfobulbaceae. The record is from RNAcentral.